Molecule: long non-coding RNA, 358 nt
Filed under: Musa acuminata (dwarf banana)
Lineage: Eukaryota; Viridiplantae; Streptophyta; Magnoliopsida; Zingiberales; Musaceae
Description: long non-coding RNA (MACU_LNC009931)
Source: RNAcentral
UCGAAUAUGGCGACGGUGUCCCGGAACAUGGUGGUGCUGGCGCUGUGCCUGCUCCUCUUGGUGGUUGCAUCCUCCGGUUAUGCAGUCGACUGCAACCUACAUGACAACUGCUUUAAUGAUUGUACCGGGAAAGGCUACUGGAGAGUCCAUUGCAUGGGCUGCUUCUUUUGUGAACCCGCGCAGGAGGAGGUUGACAUCCCCCCCGCAUGAGAAGGCCAACCACCAUCUCUUCUCUCCUUGUCGUUUCACUUCUAUAUGUAGAAUGCAAUGCUUCGGUCGCAUGCUUCCAUAUCGGUCCACCCUUUCAGCAUUGUUGUGGCUUCCUCUAACCUGCUUCUCCAUCUAUCCGUAAGCAGUG